Molecule: ribosomal RNA, 363 nt
Filed under: uncultured Methanomicrobiales archaeon
Lineage: Archaea; Methanobacteriati; Methanobacteriota; Methanomicrobia; Methanomicrobiales
Description: bacterial SSU rRNA
Rfam family: Archaeal small subunit ribosomal RNA
Source: RNAcentral
GACUAGCUGAGAGAGGUGCAUGGCCGUCGUCAGUUCGUACUGUGAAGCAUCCUGUUAAGUCAGGCAACGAGCGAGACCCACGCCAACAGUUGCCAGCUCGUCCUCCGGGAUGGUGGGGACACUGUUGGGACCGCCUCUGCUAAAGAGGAGGAGGGAAUGGGCAACGGUAGGUCAGCAUGCCCGAAUUAUCUGGGCUACACGCGGGCUACAACGGGUGGGACAAUGGGUAUCGACACCGAAAGGUGAAGGCAAUCUCCUAAACCCAUCCGUAGUUCGGAUUGAGGGCUGCAACUCGCCCUCAUGAAGCUGGAAUCCGUAGUAAUCGCGUUUCAACAGAACGCGGUGAAUACGUCCCUGCUCCUU